GGUUUAAUUCGAUGAUACGCGAGGAACCUUACCCGGGCUUGAAAGUUACUGACGAUUCUGGAAACAGGAUUUCCCUUUGGGGCAGGAAACUAGGUGCUGCAUGGUUGUCGUCAGCUCGUGCCGUGAGGUGUCGGGUUAAGUCCCAUAACGAGCGCAACCCCUACCGUUAGUUGCCAUCAGGUCAAGCUGGGCACUCUGGCGGGACUGCGGUGUAAGCCGAGA
RNAcentral lists this ribosomal RNA (222 nucleotides) under uncultured bacterium. RNAcentral describes it as "partial 16S ribosomal RNA". It matches the Rfam family "Bacterial small subunit ribosomal RNA", at positions 943 to 1170 of the family's 1533-position model. The record is from RNAcentral.